AUUGAACGCUGGCGGCAGGCCUAAUACAUGCAAGUCGAACGGUAACAGGAAGCAGCUUGCUGCCUCGCUGACGCGUGGCGGACGGGUGAGUAAUGUCUGGGACACUGCCUGAUGGAGGGGGAUAACUACUGGAAACGGUAGCUAAUCCCGCAUAACGUCGCAAGACCAUAGAUGGGGACCUUAGGGCCUCUUGCCUUCGGCUUAUCGCAGGUGGGAUUAGCUAGUAGGUGGGGUAACGGCUCACCUAGGCGACGAUCCCUAGCUGGUCUGAGAGGAUGACCAGCCACACUGGAACUGAGACACGGUCCAGACUCCUACGGGAGGCAGCAGUAGGGAAUAUUGCACAAUGGGCGCAAGCCUGAUGCAGCCAUGCCGCGUGUAUGAAGAAGGCCUUCGGGUUGUAAAAUACUUUCAGCGGGGAGGAAGAGAGUAGAGUGAAUACAUGUGCGCAUUGACGUUACCCGCAGAGAAAGCACCGGCUAACUACGUG
RNAcentral lists this ribosomal RNA (490 nucleotides) under uncultured bacterium. RNAcentral describes it as "partial 16S ribosomal RNA". It matches the Rfam family "Bacterial small subunit ribosomal RNA", at positions 30 to 507 of the family's 1533-position model. The record is from RNAcentral.